GACGAACGCUGGCGGCGUGCUUAACACAUGCAAGUCGAACGGAAAGGCCCUGCUUUUGUGGGGUGCUCGAGUGGCGAACGGGUGAGUAACACGUGAGUAACCUGCCCUUGACUUUGGGAUAACUUCAGGAAACUGGGGCUAAUACCGGAUAGGAGCUCCUGCUGCAUGGUGGGGGUUGGAAAGUUUCGGCGGGUGGGGAUGGACUCGCGGCUUAUCAGCUUGUUGGUGGGGUAGUGGCUUACCAAGGCUUUGACGGGUAGCCGGCCUGAGAGGGUGACCGGCCACAUUGGGACGGAGAUACGGCCCAGCCUCCUACGGGAGGCAGCAGUGGGGAAUAUUGCACAAUGGGCGGAAGCCUGAUGCAGCACAGCCGCGUGCGGGAUGUCGGCCUUCGGGUUGUAAUCCGCUUUCGCCUGUGACGAAGCGUGAGUGACGGUAAUGGGUAAAGAAGCACCGGCUAACUACGUG
Molecule: ribosomal RNA, 468 nt
Filed under: uncultured bacterium
Lineage: Bacteria
Description: partial 16S ribosomal RNA
Rfam family: Bacterial small subunit ribosomal RNA
Source: RNAcentral